This 376-nucleotide ribosomal RNA is filed under the name uncultured bacterium. RNAcentral's name for it is "bacterial SSU rRNA". It matches the Rfam family "Bacterial small subunit ribosomal RNA", at positions 523 to 898 of the family's 1533-position model. The record is from RNAcentral.
AUACGUAGGUGGCAAGCGUUGUCCGGAAUUAUUGGGCGUAAAGCGCGCGCAGGCGGGAUAUUAAGUCUGUUUUAAAAGUUCGGGGCUCAACCCCGUGAUGGAAUGGAAACUAAUAUUCUUGAGUGCAGGAGAGGAAAGUGGAAUUCCCAGUGUAGCGGUGAAAUGCGUAGAUAUUGGGAGGAACACCAGUGGCGAAGGCGACUUUCUGGACUGUGUCUGACGCUGAGGCGCGAAAGCCAGGGGAGUGAACGGGAUUAGAUACCCCGGUAAUCCUGGCCGUAAACGAUGGGUACUAGGUGUAGGAGGUAUCGACCCCUUCUGUGCCGGAGUUAACGCAAUAAGUACCCCGCCUGGGGAGUACGGCCGCAAGGUUGAA